UCUAAAUGAACACCUCACUAAGAAGACUGUUGACAUUGCAAGACAGGCACAUAUUUUAAGAAGACAAAACAAGAUUCAAUCAAUAUGGACAAUAACUUGCGAAAUAAAGAUUCGGCUGGAAGGGACACCUGAGGAAGCCAAAGUCCUCAUGAUAAGGGAUCUUAAAGAUCUGGACCAGUACACAUGAAGAACUACAACAGAUUGACUGUGGCCACAUGGAGCACUUUUAAUGGACAUUAAAAGAAAACAAUCAGCUCACGUGAGGAACACUUCGUUCUUUAUUUAAUUGACUGGUUGGAGGAGGAAUUUAGGUUUUAGAGAUAUUAAAAAAAACAAUCUGCUCACGUGAGGAACACUUCGUUCUUUAUUUAAUUGACUGGGUGUGAGGAGGACUUUUGGUUCCCAUUUAAAGACAGUAAAAAUGAAGAGCUUGUUUAUUUUUUAAAGGACUUUGAUGCUGAACACCAGGCAUGAAAACUACAUGGGAAAUUAUGAACUUUAGGACCUUUGAUUACAGCGAACAUAAAUCGUAUGACUUUGGGGAUCCUAUUGAUCCAGAAAAAUCCCUUCUAUAAUAAUAUCAACAGUAACUAAUGGCACAGUGACAAGUUAAUGCACCACCUCAUUCACCUGUUGACCUCUGAUCAACCUGUCCCAGGUUCCUGCCACUGAUGGAGGAGGGUUUCCUUUUUGUGGAGAGUUUGAUUGAACGUUAUGGUUAAUUAGCAAUAAGGUUAGCUGGACUCUCCCUUAGAGAGAGGCUGAGAG
Molecule: long non-coding RNA, 768 nt
Organism: Austrofundulus limnaeus
Lineage: Eukaryota; Metazoa; Chordata; Actinopteri; Cyprinodontiformes; Rivulidae
Exons: 3
Source: RefSeq, a predicted model, not a curated record